Molecule: ribosomal RNA, 419 nt
Filed under: uncultured Methanosaeta sp.
Lineage: Archaea; Methanobacteriati; Methanobacteriota; Methanomicrobia; Methanotrichales; Methanotrichaceae
Description: bacterial SSU rRNA
Rfam family: Archaeal small subunit ribosomal RNA
Source: RNAcentral
GGAAAUCUUACCGGGACCGACAGCAAUAUGAAGGCCAGGCUGAAGACUUUGCCGGAUUAGCUGAGAGGUGGUGCAUGGCCGUCGUCAGUUCGUACUGUGAAGCAUCCUGUUAAGUCAGGCAACGAGCGAGACCCACGCCCACAGUUGCCAGCGUACUCUCUGGAGUGACGGGUACACUGUGGGACCGCCGCUGCUAAAGCGGAGGAAGGAAUGGGCAACGGUAGGUCAGUAUGCCCCGAAUAUCCCGGGCUACACGCGAGCUACAAUGGUUGGUACAAUGGGUAUCUACCCGAAAGGGACGGGAAUCUCCUAAAACCAAUCUUAGUUCGGAUUGAGGGCUGCAACUCCGCCCUCAUGAAGCUGGAAUCCGUAGUAAUCGCGUUUCAACAGAACGCGGUCGAAUACCGUCCCUGCUCCUU